Molecule: ribosomal RNA, 279 nt
Filed under: unidentified marine bacterioplankton
Lineage: Bacteria
Description: partial 16S ribosomal RNA
Rfam family: Bacterial small subunit ribosomal RNA
Source: RNAcentral
CAAGUCGAGCGGAAACGAUGGGAGCUUGCUCCCAGGCGUCGAGCGGCGGACGGUGAGUAACGCGUAGGAAUCUACCCAGUAGGAGGGGAUACGACCCGGGGAAACUCGGAUUAAUACCGCAUACGCCUAGGGGAAAGCCGGGAUCUUCGGACCGGUCGCUAUUGGAUGAGCCUGCGUAAGAUUAGCUAGUUGGUAGGUAAAGGCCUACCAAGGCGACGAUCUUUAGCUGGUCUGAGAGGAUGAUCAGCCACACUGGAACUGAGACACGGUCCAGACUCC